AUAUCCUGUGUUCAGUGGUUGCUCUGUUUGAUGUGUCUCUCCCUGAUGUUGGCCCUCAAGACAUCCAUGACACGGUACGCAGCCAUGGAACGCACACUAUAAUCCUGCUCAGGCAACAGUCAGAUGUUUUAGGAGAGUACAGAAGCAGAACACCGCCCACUUUUCGAGGGGAACCUGUGAGCUCCCCUGUCCCUGCAAUGAGCAUCAUACCUCCAAGUGUUCAGUGAAUCAGAAGACAGUUCAGACAGCUCGGAUGACCAUGAAGAAGGCAAGGAGGGCACAGAGCCCAGGUCUGCGUCUGCAUGGGAGACCUUCUGUACGGGGCUGGAGGAGUUCCUGGUCAGGGCACGGGAGAGGAGGGCACAGAGAGAGGCUCCAGGAGACGACCAGCAGAUCUUGCCCACAGCCAUGGGAGCUGAGUCACUCAUCGUAGGGGCUGCAGCAUACAAAUUAAAGACAUUGUCAACAGGAGAGAAGGUGCUACAGUUAUCUCUAAUGGCUACCAGGAAGCGCUAUCGGAACUGUGGAGUGGGUCGCCACAUCAUAGAGCUACUAAAGACCCAGUCUGUGUGUGGGGCCUACGAUGCGUUCCUCGCUCACGCUGACACAGACACGGUGGACUUCUUCUCAUGCUGUGGACUCACUGACGAUGCCCUGCACAAUUUUUUUUUUUUUACCUUUAUUU
Oncorhynchus masou masou (cherry salmon) is the source of this 685-nucleotide long non-coding RNA. RefSeq lists it as uncharacterized. NCBI's taxonomy places the organism in Eukaryota, Metazoa, Chordata, Actinopteri, Salmoniformes, Salmonidae. The transcript is spliced from 5 exons. The record is from RefSeq and is a predicted model, not a curated record.